UNUGACUUGAGUGCAGAAGGGGAGAGUGGAAUUCCAUGUGUAGCGGUGAAAUGCGUAGAUAUAUGGAGGAACACCAGUGGCGAAAGCGGCUCUCUGGUCUGUCACUGACGCUGAGGCUCGAAAGCGUGGGUAGCGAACAGGAUUAGAUACCCUGGUAGUCCACGCCGUAAACGAUGAGUGCUAGGUGUUAGGCCCUUUCCGGGGCUUAGUGCCGGAGCUAACGCAAUAAGCACUCCGCCUGGGGAGUACGACCGCAAGGUUGAAACUCAAAGGAAUUGACGGGGGCCCGCACAAGCGGUGGAGCAUGUAGUUUAAUUCGAAGCAACGCGAAGAACCUUACCAGGUCUUGACAUCCCGAUGCUAUUCUUAGAGAUAGGAAGUUACUUCGGUACAUCGGAGACAGGUGGUGCAUGGUUGUCGUCAGCUCGUGUCGUGAGAUGUUGGGUUAAGUCCCGCAACGAGCGCAACCCUUAUUGUUAGUUGCCAUCAUUAAGUUGGGCACUCUAGCGAGACUGCCGGUAAUAAACCGGAGGAAGGUGGGGAUGACGUCAAAUCAUCAUGCCCCUUAUGACCUGGGCUACACACGUGCUACAAUGGUCGGUACAACGAGUUGCGAGCCGGUGACGGCAAGCUAAUCUCUGAAAGCCGAUCUCAGUUCGGAUUGGAGGCUGCAACUCGCCUCCAUGAAGUCGGAAUCGCUAGUAAUCGCGGAUCAGCACGCCGCGGUGAAUACGUUCCCGGGCCUUGUACACACCGCCCGUCACACCACGAGAGUUUGUAACACCCGAAGUCGGUGAGGUANCCUUUUAGGG
Molecule: ribosomal RNA, 812 nt
Filed under: uncultured bacterium
Lineage: Bacteria
Description: bacterial SSU rRNA
Rfam family: Bacterial small subunit ribosomal RNA
Source: RNAcentral